RNAcentral lists this ribosomal RNA (501 nucleotides) under uncultured bacterium. Its description in RNAcentral is "partial 16S ribosomal RNA". It matches the Rfam family "Bacterial small subunit ribosomal RNA", at positions 30 to 523 of the family's 1533-position model. The record is from RNAcentral.
AUUGAACGCUGGCGGCAGGCUUAACACAUGCAAGUCGAGCGGGGUGAUGGUGCUUGCACUAUCACUUAGCGGCGGACGGGUGAGUAAUGCCUAGGAAUCUGCCUAGUAGUGGGGGACAACGUUUCGAAAGGAACGCUAAUACCGCAUACGUCCUACGGGAGAACGUGGGGGAUCUUCGGACCUCACGCUAUUAGAUGAGCCUAGGUCGGACUAGCUAGUUGGCAGGGUAAAGGCCUACCAAGGCGACGAUCGGUAACUGGUCGGAGAGGAUGAUCCGCAACACUGGGACUGAGACACGGCUCAGACUCCUACGGGAGGCAGCAGUGGGGAAUAUUGGACCAUGGGGGGGACCCUGAUCCAGCCAUGCCGCGUGUGUGAAGAAGGCCUUAUGGUUGUAAAGCACUUUAAGCGAGGAGGAGGCUCUUUUGGUUAAUACCCAAGAUGAGUGGACGUUACUCGCAGAAUAAGCACCGGCUAACUCUGUGCCAGCAGCCGCGGUAA